This 540-nucleotide long non-coding RNA is filed under the name Limulus polyphemus (Atlantic horseshoe crab). Its description in RNAcentral is "uncharacterized LOC111085595, transcript variant X4". Lineage: Eukaryota; Metazoa; Arthropoda; Merostomata; Xiphosura; Limulidae. The record is from RNAcentral.
AUACAGAACACGGAUGUAGGGGUAGGAGAGUGGUAAUCGGCUCUUCUUUGAAGUCCUUUUUUUUUUCAACCUGAUCCUCCAACUAGCAUGAAUUGUUUUCAGCAAACAAUACUCUACGCUUCUGUAUAUGUGAACAAUAUAAAUGGUUUGAACAACGUGACUGAAGCAAUUUUUCUGAGUAUACGUGGUCAAGUGCUUAGAGAAAGUUAAGCCUAACAGCAGACGCGAAACUACAUCAAUCAAGUUAACACUUUGAAAAGUCUUGUUAUUUCCGUACAUCAAAGUUCUGGCACAGUCAUGAUACAACUUCCAUCUGAUCCAGUUCUCUUCAAGCACGGUCCAGGAAAAGAAGCGCAAUCAUAUUGUUCAACAUUGAAGUCCGUCUGUACUCCGAGUUGUCACCAGAACAUUAUGAAAAGUGACCUGAAGAAAAUUGGGGGAAUAUUUUCGAAACGUCGUCCUCUAUAUUUGUGUUUCUACAACAGGCAGUUGCCGUCCAUUCAACCAAAUUUCAUCAUGAAUACUCUGCCUAAACAAUCU